This is a non-coding RNA of Albula goreensis, 72 nucleotides long. The record is from the annotation of a GenBank genome assembly. NCBI's taxonomy places the organism in Eukaryota, Metazoa, Chordata, Actinopteri, Albuliformes, Albulidae.
GGCUUGUUGGUCUAGGGGUAUGAUUCUCACCUUGGGUGUGAGAAGUCCUGGGUUCAAAUUCUAGACAAGCCC